RNAcentral lists this ribosomal RNA (700 nucleotides) under Aquimarina sp. Its description in RNAcentral is "bacterial SSU rRNA". It matches the Rfam family "Bacterial small subunit ribosomal RNA", at positions 109 to 776 of the family's 1533-position model. The record is from RNAcentral. Lineage: Bacteria; Pseudomonadati; Bacteroidota; Flavobacteriia; Flavobacteriales; Flavobacteriaceae.
CGUAACGCGUGAUAGCAACCUACCUUUCACUAUAGGGAUAGCCCACGAGAAAUCUCUGGAUCUAAUACCUGUAUAGUGAUUAUUGAUUGGCAUCGAUUAAGUAAUGUAAAGAUGUUAUUGGUUAGAGAUGGCUAUGCGUCUCUAUCUAGCGUCAGUUAGGUUAGUGUGAGACGGCGUAACCAGAGGCACACAGAUACAGAUAGAGGGUCCUGAGAGGGAGAUCCCCCACACUGGCUACUGAGACACGGACCAGACUCCUACAGCGGAGGCAGCAGUGAGGAAUAUUGGACAAUGGAGGCAACUCUGAUCCAGCCAUGCCGCGUGUAGGAAGACUGCCCUAUGGGUUGUAAACUACUUUUAUAGAGGAAGAAACCCCGGUAUGUAUACCGGUCUGACGGUACUCUACGAAUAAGGAUCGGCUAACUCCGCUGCCAGCAGCCGCGGUAAUACGGAGGAUCCAAGCGUUAUCCGGAAUCAUUGGGUUUAAAGGGUCCGUAGGCGGGUUUAUAAGUCAGUGGUGAAAGUUUGCGGCUCAACCGUAAAAUUGCCAUUGAUACUGUAGAUCUUGAAUUAUUGUGAAGUGGUUAGAAUGUGUAGUGUAGCGGUGAAAUGCAUAGAUAUUACACAGAAUACCGAUUGCGAAGGCAGAUCACUAACAAUUGAUUGACGCUAAGGGACGAAAGCGUGGGUAGCGAACAGG